Molecule: ribosomal RNA, 301 nt
Filed under: uncultured bacterium
Lineage: Bacteria
Description: partial 16S ribosomal RNA
Rfam family: Bacterial small subunit ribosomal RNA
Source: RNAcentral
CAGUCGCCGCGGUAAUACGAAGGGGGCUAGCGUUGCUCGGAAUGACUGGGCGUAAAGGGCGCGUAGGCGGCGAUCAAAGUCAGGCGUGAAAUUCCUGGGCUCAACCUGGGGGCUGCGCUUGAUACUCGGUUGCUUGAGUGGGGAAGAGGGUCGUGGAAUUCCCAGUGUAGAGGUGAAAUUCGUAGAUAUUGGGAAGAACACCGAUGGCGAAGGCAGCCCCCUGGGCCAAUACUGACGCUCAUGCACGAAAGCGUGGGGAGCAAACAGGAUUAGAUACCCCUGUAGUCCCUGUCUCUUAUAC